Molecule: long non-coding RNA, 2720 nt
Organism: Acinonyx jubatus (cheetah)
Lineage: Eukaryota; Metazoa; Chordata; Mammalia; Carnivora; Felidae
Exons: 2
Source: RefSeq, a predicted model, not a curated record
CGGGGCAAGGACAGAGAUUGGGGCUCUCCUUCCCCGCACUUGCCUUCCCUGUCCUUAGAAGAAUGGCAAAUAGAAAAUCCCCAAGGGUAGAGGGAUGGGAAGAAGCUCUCUAAGGCCCUAGAGGGUUGUCAGUUUGGGAAAUUCCAAAAAAAUUCAAAUCCACUGGGGGGAUGAAGAGAGAAGAGGUAUACCUGGGAGGAAAGAAAAAAACUGGGGGUUACUGGACAUAUGUUAGAAAGGAGGGGUUACCACAUCCAGAUGGGCUUCUUAGUGAGAAUUCCAAGUAGGUAGAAAACAGAAUCCCUCCCUUGCCUCCCGCAUCAGGUAGAUAGUCUAUCUGCAAAGUAGCAGGAUGGAUCUGCAAAACCUGCUUAUUCUAGAAUAUGCAUUUCCAGCUUAGCCCUCAUUUGAAUAAUAAGAGAAGAGAAAGAGAGAGAGACAGUGUGUGUGUGUGUGUGUGUGUGUGUGUGUGUGUGGGCGCGUGCGCGCGUGCACACGCACGCACACAGACCAUCUGCUUAAGGCAAGCCUCUGCUGGGGAAUAAAUCACUGAAUGAGGCAUCAGGCAGGGAGGGUUUGAAGGGUACAGAGCAAGGCUGACAGCCACUGCUCACAGGGAAGUGGGACAGGAGUUGGGUGGGGUAGGGAGUGUUUGGCUGUAGGAGUCCCAGUUCUCUGGAAUAAGAGGGAGCCAAGAAAGAUGUGUCUUCAGUCUCUAGACUCAUUCCAACUUGGGCUGGGGUGGAGGGUUAUUCUAGUCUCUUUAGUGACCCAGUCCGUCUGGAGAGGAAGAAAAGGAGAAAGUCCUACCUGAGACACGGUCUGCUCCGUAAGCGGAACAUCUUCACCCUAUGGCACGGAGAAACAAGCAUUUAGCAUGGGAGAAAGCUGGAGUGAGACCUGACUGAAGUUUGGUAGUGGAGAAGGAAAAGGCAGAUGCCCGACUUCUCAGUCCCUUCUAGGUGGUACAGCCAUAAUUUUACUUGGCCAGCGGGACUGUGAGCAGAAAAGGGUCAUUUCAUCCAUCCUCUGUUUUAAGGCAGGAGGACUUCUUAAAAGAUUUAUUCCAUUCCAAGUAAUCAGCAGGUUAUCUGAUCCUCAACUUGGGGGUGGGGGACCUGAUUCCCUAGUCAGAGAAGACCUUCCCUGAAUAUCAAUAUCGCCAGGGAAAGGAUGAGGGGGAGCCAGGGGUAAUUUAAUGGAUCCCGCAAGGCCUGAUGGGUAACGACAGCAUGUUAAUUUGAAGAAAUAAACUGCUGCAACAGCAGCCUGAGAAGGGGAAGGCGGGAGUGGGUGGUGGGGGGGACCCUCUCUCUUGCCACAUAGAGACAUAUGUUAGAGGAGAAGAUUAAACUAUGCAAAUGGAGCCCACGGCAGUUAAGGGAGAAGAUUUCCCAUUACCCGGCACUGUCAGCCUUCACUCCGUGGAGGUCAGAGCUGGGACAUUCUAUGAAUGGGGAGAUUUGCUUUGCUCAAACAUCGAGGCACCCCAUAGUUUGCUGGUGGGCUCUCUCUACACCCACCAUUUUCUCCCCAGCAGACCUGGAGGCUUCUACGGUUAACCCAAAGGCCCCUUUCUGGUAUCCCUAGCACCAAAGAGGACUGAGGUUCUGCAAAUAAAUGCUUCCUGAUAGACAGGUGCUGUCCUUAGUUAUGUAAAGACUUUAUGACAAGAAAGACACUCCUCUGCCUCACUUGAUUGGGAUCCAUCCCCAAAGGAAGUUAUAAGCCAACCUCAACUUCCUUUAUAGUUUCAGAAUCAUUAAUGUUAAAGUUUCUUUUACUCAUCUUUGAUUCAAUUAAGUAUGUACUAAAUGUCCCCUGUGGGCAAAGACUGUAUGAGACGCUAGGUAGCAGGUUAGGGACAAAAGUAUGCCCCUUCUGCUUCCCCUCUUUGAGACAAUGAGAAUUUGAAAGGGGAAGAGAAGGUUGUAUGUAUUCUACGAGCCCUGACCUUUAGAUAAAUUUAGCAGGUCUGGCCCUAGAGGGUGAGUAGACGGGGGAUGUAGGGGAGCACACUCUUGCUUACCCUUAAUGCUACCCGGUGUACCACUUGCUGGGGAUCACUCUCUAGGAUCACCCUAAGAAGACAAAGAAGAGACCAUCGUUCACUCUGGCCUGAAGGACAGACUCAUUGUGGGGAUACUCUGGUCACUAAGGCCACUUGCCUUAGGACAGAGGCAACAAUCCCACCCUCUCACCCCAGCUCCAAGGAGGUUCCAGGCAGGUCAGAAAACUCACCCUCCAUCUACGAUUUCAUCCACAGCCAAGAAGAGACCCUCCAUGUUCUCCAGCAGAGCUCGUUUUUCUACAUUUUUCCUGAGUCCCCAAGAGAAGAGAAAAAUCAGCCUAAGACACAUAGGAACCUAGCACACCGUCUGAGUUGGGGAUCCUAAACUAGACCAACAAAACGCCUCCACCAACCGCACAGACCAAAAAGUAAGUUAAAUGUCAAGAAUGGCCUGCUCACCUCAGCAUCUGGCUCAAUGAGUCAAAGAGGCAAUUCAGAACAGCCAUGAGCAUCAGCUGUUGGGAGACAGGAGAAGCAGAAGGAUAAGGUUCAAGGCCCUGAAAGCUGCUACCUGAAAACAAAACCUGCCAAUUCAUUAAGCAUCAAAAGACAUGGGCUUUCACAAAGGACCAAAAGCAUAAGGUGGAAGUCAGAGCAAAAACAGGAAGAGGAACUGUGGUUUCUCGCAGAAAUAAAUUCUGCUACACGA